Molecule: ribosomal RNA, 873 nt
Filed under: uncultured Bacteroidota bacterium
Lineage: Bacteria; Pseudomonadati; Bacteroidota
Description: bacterial SSU rRNA
Rfam family: Bacterial small subunit ribosomal RNA
Source: RNAcentral
UGGAUCCAGACUUUGAUCAUGGCUCAGGAUGAACGCUAGCUACAGGCUUAACACAUGCAAGUCGAGGGGAAACGAUAGAGAAAGCUUGCUUUUUCUAGGCGUCGACCGGCGCACGGGUGAGUAACGCGUAUCCAACCUGCCCAUCACUUGGGGAUAACCUUGCGAAAGUAAGACUAAUACCCAAUGAUAUCUCUAGAAGGCAUCUGAAGGAGAUUAAAGAUUUAUCGGUGAUGGAUGGGGAUGCGUCUGAUUAGCUUGUUGGCGGGGUAACGGCCCACCAAGGCGACGAUCAGUAGGGGUUCUGAGAGGAAGGUCCCCCACAUUGGAACUGAGACACGGUCCAAACUCCUACGGGAGGCAGCAGUGAGGAAUAUUGGUCAAUGGACGAGAGUCUGAACCAGCCAAGUAGCGUGCAGGAUGACGGCCCUAUGGGUUGUAAACUGCUUUUAUAAGGGAAUAAAGUGAGUCUCGUGAGACUUUUUGCAUGUACCUUAUGAAUAAGGACCGGCUAAUUCCGUGCCAGCAGCCGCGGUAAUACGGAAGGUCCGGGCGUUAUCCGGAUUUAUUGGGUUUAAAGGGAGCGUAGGCCGGAGAUUAAGCGUGUUGUGAAAUGUAGACGCUCAACGUCUGCACUGCAGCGCGAACUGGUUUCCUUGAGUACGCACAAAGUGGGCGGAAUUCGUGGUGUAGCGGUGAAAUGCUUAGAUAUCACGAAGAACUCCGAUUGCGAAGGCAGCUCACUGGAGCGCAACUGACGCUGAAGCUCGAAAGUGCGGGUAUCGAACAGGAUUAGAUACCCUGGUAGUCCGCACGGUAAACGAUGGAUGCCCGCUGUUGGUCUGAAUAGGUCAGCGGCCAAGCGAAAGCAUUAAG